RNAcentral lists this ribosomal RNA (460 nucleotides) under uncultured bacterium. RNAcentral describes it as "partial 16S ribosomal RNA". It matches the Rfam family "Bacterial small subunit ribosomal RNA", at positions 338 to 795 of the family's 1533-position model. The record is from RNAcentral.
CCUACGGGGAGCUGCAGUGAGGAAUAUUGGUCAAUGGACGAGAGUCUGAACCAGCCAAGUAGCGUGAAGGAUGACUGCCCUAUGGGUUGUAAACUUCUUUUAUAUGGGAAUAAAAUGUUCCACGUGUGGGAUUUUGUAUGUACCAUAUGAAUAAGGAUCGGCUAACUCCGUGCCAGCAGCCGCGGUAAUACGGAGGAUCCGAGCGUUAUCCGGAUUUAUUGGGUUUAAAGGGAGCGUAGGUGGAUUGUUAAGUCAGUUGUGAAAGUUUGCGGCUCAACCGUAAAAUUGCAGUUGAAACUGGCAGUCGUGAGUACAGUAGAGGUGGGCGGAAUUCGUGGUGUAGCGGUGAAAUGCUUAGAUAUCACGAAGAACUCCGAUUGCGAAGGCAGCUCACUGGACUGCAACUGACACUGAGGCUCGAAAGUGUGGGUAUCAAACAGGAUUAGAUACCCGAGUAGUC